RNAcentral lists this long non-coding RNA (1720 nucleotides) under Nicotiana tabacum (common tobacco). RNAcentral's name for it is "long non-coding RNA (NTAB_LNC011013)". Lineage: Eukaryota; Viridiplantae; Streptophyta; Magnoliopsida; Solanales; Solanaceae. The record is from RNAcentral.
AAUGUAAACCAAAAUUGGAAAUAACAGCAUUGUUUAAUCAAAUGACCUAAAAAGAACCAACUUUAGAACAAAACAAACCCAUACUCAAGCCUGAACCGUCUCAGGUGUUGCCUCCUCAGUGGUGUAGACAAUAACCUUACUGGCAGGUUUUGACAAGACAUCAGCGUAUUCUUGGAAAGGAGAUUUAGUGAAGCGAGUCUCCUUCCAGAAGUCUGGAGUAAGGAAACCGUAUGUCUUCAUUAAACAAUCGAAGGUUGCCUGCAUAAAAGAAAAACAUUGAGCACCAAAAGUUCAAACAAAUGCAAAACCAAGUGAUAUGGGGAGAGAAAGCAUAGGAUGAACUAAGGAAUUAAAUACUCCAUCCCAUUUCACGGGAAUGUGUUUGACCGAGUAUGGAGUUCACAAAAGAAAGAAAGACUUCUGGGACUUGUGAUUUUAAACAUGAUAUAACAUUUCCGUGGCUAUAAAAUCACAUCAUUAAGGAUAAAAUGAAAAUUUUAAAGUUAAACAGUUUCAAAUAUAGAAAAGCGAAGAAUGACUAGAAAGUGUCACAUAAAAUUGGACAGGAGGAGUACAGCAACUGAAGUUCUUCUCUAGAGCAGAGCAGUUAACAACCACGCAUAAGUUUCAGUGUGUAAAGACAAUCACAAGUACAAAAACUAGGACAGAAACUACAGAUGGUAAACGCACUAGCUCAAAAGUUAAAGCAUUCUUUUAUUGUCCCGCCUCCCCCAAAGACAAUUCUCAAAUUCAAUCAAGACAUAAAGUGACAUGUUAGGCAUGUUGUGAUUUUUCUCAAAUAUGUUUAUUAAGCAAUGCCAUGUACUCCAACUCUCAUAACAAAAAACUAACUACUUUCACACUUAACCUUAGCUUCGGAAAUCCUAAUGAAUAAUGAGUUCGACUUGGGCUAAUUCAUGAAUUAAAAAAAUUGAACCAUUUUCUUGUAUAUAAAAACAUGAUUAAUGAGCUCAACAUUAGCAUCAGAAAUGGCAUUUCCUUUGGUUUAUAACAUAAUUAAUCACAUUUUCAUUGGCUUAUAACAUACUAAUCGUAUUUCCAUUGGUUUAUAACAUAAUUAAUCGCAUUUCUAUUGGUUUUAUAACAUGCAUUUCUACCUAUACUAACCUCACAUUAGAAUUAAGCAAGAAUAGCAGGGGUGAAUCCAGGAUCCAGAUUCGGAGGCCACAAGGACAAUUAUAUAGAUUUUCUAAUUUAUUCGCAAACAUAGUCCAAGCCAAAGGCAAUUGGUUGAAUUGAACACACAACAAAAAUCCAGAAAAGAAAGACUAAAAUUAAAAAAACAAACCUUGACAAAGUUGCCGAGGGUUUUGGUGGAUCCACGAGAAGAGGUAAAAACAUCCUCAAUACCAGCAAACUGCAACACUUUUUUAGGAACCCUAGCCGCCACAAUACCAGCACCUCGUGGAGCAGGCACCAUACGCACAGUCACAGACCCACAUUUCCCUGUAACCUUACACGGCACGGUGUGCGGCUUUCCAAUCUUGUUACCCCAAUAACCUCUCCUCACAGGAAUCACAGAAAGUUUAGCCAAUAUAAUCGCGCCACGAAUAGCAGUCGCCACUUCUUUCGAGCACUUCACGCCUAAUCCCACGUGUCCAUUUCCGUCACCUACAACAACGAAAGCCUUGAACCGGGUUCUCUGUCCGGCCCGGGUUUGUUUCUGAACCGGCAUGAUUUUCAUCACUUCGUCCUUUAG